This 375-nucleotide ribosomal RNA is filed under the name Triticum aestivum (bread wheat). RNAcentral's name for it is "partial small subunit ribosomal RNA". Lineage: Eukaryota; Viridiplantae; Streptophyta; Magnoliopsida; Poales; Poaceae. The record is from RNAcentral.
AUGCCAGAUGAAGUUAGCAAUCUCGUUCAUCUGCAGAAAAUUAACAUGUCAAAUAACAGGUUGUCCGGCAACAUUACAUCAACCCUCAGCCAGUGUGUUGAUCUGGGGUAUCUUGAGAUGCAAAACAACUUAUUUGCAGGAAGGACUGCACAAACAUUGGCCAACUUAGUCAGCAUAAAACACAUGGAUAUUUCUGGGAAAAACUUGUCUGGAAAACUACCAGAGUUCCUCCAAUCCUUGAAAUCAAUGCAAGACCCGAGUUCAUCCUUCAACCAUUUCACUGGAGCAGUUAUGACAUCGCUGGUGCGGUGUCAAUCGAAGGAAAUGAUCAUCUGUGUACAAGCAUCCCAACGGGAUGUAUUUCUCUUUGUAUGA